This 292-nucleotide ribosomal RNA is filed under the name uncultured Acinetobacter sp. RNAcentral describes it as "partial 16S ribosomal RNA". It matches the Rfam family "Bacterial small subunit ribosomal RNA", at positions 505 to 796 of the family's 1533-position model. Lineage: Bacteria; Pseudomonadati; Pseudomonadota; Gammaproteobacteria; Moraxellales; Moraxellaceae. The record is from RNAcentral.
GUGUCAGCCGCCGCGGUAAUACAGAGGGUGCAAGCGUUAAUCGGAUUUACUGGGCGUAAAGCGCGCGUAGGCGGCUAAUUAAGUCAAAUGUGAAAUCCCCGAGCUUAACUUGGGAAUUGCAUUCGAUACUGGUUAGCUAGAGUGUGGGAGAGGAUGGUAGAAUUCCAGGUGUAGCGGUGAAAUGCGUAGAGAUCUGGAGGAAUACCGAUGGCGAAGGCAGCCAUCUGGCCUAACACUGACGCUGAGGUGCGAAAGCAUGGGGAGCAAACAGGAUUAGAAACCCUAGUAGUCC